UCUCAGUUCGGAUUGGAGUCUGCAACCCGACUCCAUGAAGCUGGAUUCGCUAGUAAUCGCGCACCAGCCACGGCGCGGUGAAUACGUUCCCGGGCCUUGUACACACCGCCCGUCAAGCCAUGGAAGCCGGGAGUGCCUGAAGUGCGUGACCGCAAGGAACGCCCUAGGGUAAAACCGGUGACUGGGGCUAAGUCGUAACAAGGUAGC
Molecule: ribosomal RNA, 207 nt
Filed under: uncultured bacterium
Lineage: Bacteria
Description: partial 16S ribosomal RNA
Rfam family: Bacterial small subunit ribosomal RNA
Source: RNAcentral